GACGAACGCUGGCGGCGUGCUUAACACAUGCAAGUCGAACGGAAAGGCCCUGCUUGCCGGGUACUCGAGUGGCGAACGGGUGAGUAACACGUGGGUGAUCUGCCCCGCACUUCGGGAUAAGCUUGGGAAACUGGGUCUAAUACCGGAUAGGAACCAUCUUUAGUGUGGUGGUUGGAAAGUUUUUUCGGUGUAGGAUGAGCUCGCGGCCUAUCAGCUUGUUGGUGGGGUAAUGGCCUACCAAGGCGGCGACGGGUAGCCGGCCUGAGAGGGUGUACGGCCACAUUGGGACUGAGAUACGGCCCAGACUCCUACGGGAGGCAGCAAUGGGGAAUAUUGCACAAUGGGCGCAAGCCUGAUGCAGCGACGCCGCGUGGGGGAUGAAGGCCUUCGGGUUGUAAACUCCUUUCGCUAGGGACGAAGCUUUGUUGUGACGGUACCUAGAUAAGAAGCACCGGCUAACUACGUG
RNAcentral lists this ribosomal RNA (466 nucleotides) under uncultured bacterium. Its description in RNAcentral is "partial 16S ribosomal RNA". It matches the Rfam family "Bacterial small subunit ribosomal RNA", at positions 28 to 507 of the family's 1533-position model. The record is from RNAcentral.